UACGUAGGGUGCAAGCGUUGUCCGGAAUUAUUGGGCGUAAAGAGCUCGUAGGCGGUCUGUCGCGUCUGCUGUGAAAACUCAGGGCUUAACCCUGAGCUUGCAGUGGGUACGGGCAGACUAGAGUGCGGUAGGGGUGACUGGAAUUCCUGGUGUAGCGGUGGAAUGCGCAGAUAUCAGGAGGAACACCGAUGGCGAAGGCAGGUCACUGGGCCGCAACUGA
Molecule: ribosomal RNA, 220 nt
Filed under: uncultured bacterium
Lineage: Bacteria
Description: partial 16S ribosomal RNA
Rfam family: Bacterial small subunit ribosomal RNA
Source: RNAcentral